This 331-nucleotide ribosomal RNA is filed under the name uncultured bacterium. Its description in RNAcentral is "bacterial SSU rRNA". It matches the Rfam family "Bacterial small subunit ribosomal RNA", at positions 30 to 363 of the family's 1533-position model. The record is from RNAcentral.
AUUGAACGCUGGCGGCAUGCCUAACACAUGCAAGUCGAACGGUAACAGGCCCUUCGGGUGCUGACGAGUGGCGGAUGGGUGAGUAAUACUUAGGAAUCUACCCUGUAGUGGGGACGAACCCGGGAACGUACGGGCUAAUACCGCAUACGCUCUACGGAGGAAAGACGGGGACCGCAAGGCCUCGCGCUAUUGGAUGAGCCUAAGCCCGAUUAGCUAGUUGGUGGGGUAAUAGCCUACCAAGGCAAUGAUCGGUAGCUGGUCUGAGAGACGACCAGCCACACUGGGACUGAGACACGGCCCAGACUCCUACGGGAGGCAGCAGUGGGGAAUA